CAGGAGGUGUUUAUAAAUUUUGGAGAUUAAUCCCUUGUCAGUCGAUUCAUUUGCAAAUAUUUUCUCCCAUUCUGUAGGUUGUCUUUUCGUUUUGUUUAGUGUUAACUUUGCUGUGCAGAAACUCAAGUUUUUUUUUUUUUUUCUUUUUGCCAUUUCUUGGGCUGCUCCCCCGGCAUAUGGAGGUUCCCAGGCUAGGGGUUGAAUCGGAGCCAUAGCUGCUGGCCUACGCCAGAGCCACAGCAACAUGGGAUCCGAGCCGCGUCUGCAACCUACACCACAGCUCAUGGCAACGCUGGAUCCUCAACUCACUGAGCAAGGCCAGGGAUCGAAUCCGAAACCUCAUGGUUCCUAGUCGGAUUCGUUAACCACUGCGCCACGACGGGAACUCCAAACUUUUAAGUUUGAUUAAAUCCAUUUGUUUAUUUUUGUCUUAUUGUCAUUCUCUAGGAGGUGGAUCUGAGCCGAUGUUGCUGUGGUUUAUGUUGGAGAUAGUUUGGCCAUCUCCACGGUGGGUGAACCAAUUUACAUUCCCACCAACAGUGUAAUAGGCUUCCCCUUUCUCCACACCCUCUCCAGCAUUUAUUGUUUGUAGACUUUUUGAUGAUGGCCAUUCUGGCUGGUGUAAGGUGGUACUGCAUAGUAGUUUUAAUUUGCAUUUCUCUAUUAAUUAGUGUACAGAUUCUUUCCUUUUUCAUAGCUUGCUCUCAGGAGUUCUGGUCCAGUCUUGAUUCCUUUUUUUUUUUUCCUCCUCAUCUCCCUCUGUCUCUUUUUCCUUUUGUUCUACCCAGUUAUGUGGAGGGUUUAUUGCCUUUUUGGAGGUUUGAGGUCUUCUGCCAGCAUUCAGUAGAUGUUCUGUGUGAAUCUUCCUACAUGUAGAUUUUUUUUUUAUGUGUUUAUGGAAGAAGGUGCUCAGCAUGUCUUACUCCUCCACUAUUUUGAUCCUUUCCCUCAACUACUUCAAAUUAACUUGCUAGAGCUCAGAAAAUUUUAAACAUGGCAAGAGUUUGUGUUGUAGCUCAGCUAGGUUUGUGGUUAUUUGUGGUAGUUUGACAGGUGUCUGAUCUUGUAUUACAAGGACAUUAGGGUUCAUUAUCCUAAGGCUAACUUACUCUUAGUCUUUGGAUCAUUUUUUUUUUUUCUGAGAUGGAAACUUCCUUUAGGGCAGACAAAAUUAGCCACUAUAGAGCAGAGUUUCCAGUUCCUCUUUUGGCCAGAGGAGUGUAAAGAUAAAUGAAGCCCAUGUGGCUAGGUUGAAGUGCAGGUAGGAGAAUGACAAAUGGCUCUUAUUUUCACUUUUGUCUUCUAAUCUUCCAAAUCUUUGUUCAUGUAGCAAAUACUAGCUCUGGGUGAUUGCACUCACUUCAUUUUUCUUGUCCAACUUUCUUUCUGGCAUGAAAAGCCCAAGUGGUUAUAUAUUCCUAAGAUGUAUGGGCAGUCUAAUUUUCUGAAGAUGUAUUUUGCGUCUUUCCUCUUCACUAUCAAUAUGUGACUUCAGUCUAAUUUUCUCCAAAUUAUAAUAUCUUCAGUAGAAUCUCCACCUGCCCUUUUUCUCAGUUCCUCUUAUCAUGAUAUAGAUCCAAUCAUCAUAAUUCCUGCCUAGAUAGAACAGCAAAAUUCUCUUAACUGAUUUACCUGUAUCCACUCUCAUUAUUUUCCAAAAUCUUUCCCAAAUUUCCACCUUUCUGAUUUUUUUAAUCAUCAAAUAAGUGUAGGUCAUUACCCUAUUAAUAUUUCAAAUGCUUCCCAUUGCCUUUAAAAAGGUAGUUCAGGAAGACAUAAUUCCCUGCACAAUCUGGUACUAGCCUAUCUCUUUAUUUAUUUUAUAAUUUAUUCAACAGAGCUUACAAUAUUAUAUUUAGUGUAUGGAAGUUUUCAGAUAGUAGGAAUAAAUCUUUGUGGUUAUUUCCAAUGAUGACGAUUGGUGCAGCAUUGAAAGAAACAGUCCUGGGAAGCAAAGACUAGCAAAGCUAGUAACAGAAAAGCAGCAGUGUCAAAAACUACCAUGUGUUUUUUUUUUAACUAGAAUUUCUGCAAUUACUAAAGGAUGAUACAUAUUUGAAAUAACGUUUAAAGAAUGAUGAGAAAAAUUCUAGGCUUGUUUUGUAUUGCAAAGGAAGGAAAUGGACUUAAUAUUAUGAACUAUGUAGUAGAAAGGUUAAGCAUGCUUUUGAGAAAUCAGCCUGGAAUAUAAUGCUGUUUUUUCUACUUACCAACUUGGGAGAGUUACCUGACUUCUCUGAGAUUUGAUUUCUUUGGACAAAUGGGUAAUAUUAGUGUAUUCCUUGUUUUUCUUUCUUCUUUUUUUUUUUUUAAGAUUUUUAAAACUUUAUUUCCCAAAUACAUUAUUUUUUUUCCUACUGUACAGCAUGGUGACCCAGUUACACAUACAUGUAUGCAUUCUUUUUUUCUCCCAUUAUCAUGCUCUACCAUAAGUGACUAGAUAUAAAAAAAAAAUAAGUGACUAGAUAUAGUUCCCAGUGCUACACAGCAGGAUCCCAUUGCUAAUCCAUACCAAAGGCAAUAGUCUGCAUCUAUUAACCACAAGCUCCCAAUCCAUCCCACUCCCUCCCCCUCCCCCUUGGCAACUACAAAUCUAUUUUCCAUGUCCAUGGGUUUCUUUUCUGUGGAAAGUUUCAUUUGUGCCAUGUAUUAGAUUCUGGAUAUAAGUGAUAUUGUAUGGUAUUUGUCUUUCUCUUCUCGACUUACUUCCCUCAGUAUGAGAGUCUCUGGUUCCAUCCAUGUUGCUGCAAAUGGCAUUAUUUUGUUCUUUUUUUAUGGCUGAGUAGUAUUCCAUUGUGUACAUAUACCACAUCUUUCUAAUCCAAUCAUCUGUUGAUGGACAUUUGGGUUGUUUCCAUGUCUUGGCUAUUGUGAAUAGAGCUGCAACGAACAUGUGCACGCAUGUGUCUUUUUCAAGGAAAGUUUUGUCUGGAUAUAUGCCCAAGAGUGGGGUUGCUGGGUCAUAUGGUAGUUCUAUGUAUAGUUUUCUAAGGUAUCUCCAUACUGUUCUCCAUAGUGGUUGUAUCAGCUUACAGGAAAAGAAAUGAGAAAAAACUAACUGCAUGGAGACUAAACAACAUGCUACUAAAAAACACAUGGGUUAAUGAGGAAAUCAAGAAGGAAAUUAAAAAAAUACCUCGAGACAAAUGAUAAUGAAGGCACAACCACUCAAAAUCUAUGGGAUGCCUCUAAAGCAGUGCUCAGGGGGAAAUUCAUAGCAAUACAGGCCUUCCUCAAAAAAGAAGAUAAAUCUCAAAUCAACAACCUAACCCAUCACCUAUAUGAAUUAGAAAAAGAAGAACAAACAAAACCUAAAUUCAGCAGAAGGAAGGAAAUCAUAAAACUCUGAUAGGAAAUCAAUAAAAUAGAGAUAAAAAAACAAUAGAAAAAAAUCAAUAAAACCAAGAGCUUGUUUUUUGAAAAGGUAAGCAAAAUUGACAAACCCCUGGCUAGACUCACCAAGAAAAGGGGAGAAAAAACCCAAAUAAAAUAAUAAAUGAAAAAGGCGAAAUCACAACGGAUACUAUGGAAAUACAAAAAACAUGAGAGAAUACUAUGAACAAUUGUAUGCUAACAAAUUUGACAAUCUAGAAGAAAUGGACAGUUUUCUAUAGGCUUACAGCCUACCAAAACUGAAUCAAGAAGAAAUAGAUCAACUGAACAGACUGAUCACUAGAAAGGAAAUUGAAUAUGUCAUAAAAACACUCCCUACAAAUAAGAGUCCAGGACCAGAUGGCAUCACAGGUGAAUUCUGCCAAACAUAAAAAGAGGAACUUAUACCCAUCGUCCUUAAACUUUUUCAAAAGGUUGUAGAAGAAGGAACACUCCCAAAGACAUUCUAUGAUGCCGCCAUCACCCUAAUUCCAAAACCAGACAAAGAUUCUACCAAAAAAGAAAACCAGUAUCUUUGAUGAAUACAGACUCAAAAAUUCUCAACGAAAUUUUAGCCUACUGGGUCCAACAACAUAUCAAAAAGAUCAUACACCACGACCAGGUGGAAUUCAUCCCAGGUGCACAAGGAUGGUUCAACAUACGCAGAUCAAUCAAUGUCAUACAGCACAUUAACAAAAGAAAAGUAAAAAACCACAUGAUUAUCUCAAUAGUGUAUUCCUUAUAAACUCAUUGAGGGAACUUAAUUGAUUCAAGUACAGAGCUUGCCAAAAUAAGCUUUCAGUAAAACUUAGCUAUUGUUGUUGUUAUUGUUAUCAACUGCAUUUGUCUAAAAAUAGAGAAUAGAGCCUUUUGCUAACUUGGUAUAGGUGAUUUAGAUGACAUAAACCAUCAGCUAGCUGCUCCCUAGUUUAUAGGAAAACUCCAACUAUU
This 4323-nucleotide long non-coding RNA is filed under the name Sus scrofa (pig). RNAcentral describes it as "lncRNA (ENSSSCG00000052066.1)". Lineage: Eukaryota; Metazoa; Chordata; Mammalia; Artiodactyla; Suidae. The record is from RNAcentral.